GAAAAUCAAAUGGUUGCUGCCUUACUAAGUCAACACUGUUAGAUUGUUUAUUUUAUUAAAAAUAAUAACAAAGAGUAGUCAAGAAUACUUUUCUUUCUAAAAAAUACAAAGAGUUGUCAAGAAUACAUUAUAACAUUGACAACACAUGAUGUUUAUGUUUACUUGGCCAAACCUCAGAAAAAAAAUGGCAUGAAAUCCUAUAGUACUGCAUAGUCCGCACCCCAUCCAUCAAUUUCAUUUCCAGGGUAAAAAACCGCGGACUAUCAGUGGCGUAGCUGGGUCAUUUUUACGUGUACGCCCGAACCUUCGCGAGGGAUAUGGGAGUACCAACCGCUCAAUGUUAAAGCACCUACUGAUGGUGGGUUCGAAAGGGACGAAGCCCCCCGAGAGCUAUCGAGAAUGAGAUACCAUAAUAAUUCCUGUAAAAAAAAUCCUUGAUAGCAACAUUCUUUUGAAUCUAAAUGGCUUAUUUGUUUCGGUUAAAUUUUGUUAUUAUACUAUAAACUUAUCCAUCGUGUUAAACUUGAAACUAGCCUAAUGGUCAAUGGUUUCAGAGAAAACGUCCAAACCAAUAUUAUUUUUAAAUAAGUUUACCUCACGAGAGAGCAUACAAUCGACAAAAGCACCUUUUAAUGAACACGAACAAAAAAAUAUUUCUUACAGGUGCUAUAUAAAAAAAAAUCUGGAACACCUAGGAUUUCUUCCCACAA
Molecule: long non-coding RNA, 710 nt
Filed under: Mytilus galloprovincialis (Mediterranean mussel)
Lineage: Eukaryota; Metazoa; Mollusca; Bivalvia; Mytilida; Mytilidae
Source: RNAcentral